This 304-nucleotide long non-coding RNA is filed under the name Homo sapiens (human). Its description in RNAcentral is "non-protein coding lnc-ZNF783-3:6". The record is from RNAcentral. Lineage: Eukaryota; Metazoa; Chordata; Mammalia; Primates; Hominidae.
AGAGAUCUCCCUUCCGGCUAUCGUGGCUGCUGUUCAGGUGGUGGAGAAGAAGAUGGAACCCCAGGCUGCCUGGCUACAGAGCCUGGAGGGAUGCAUGUGGACAGCCAAGAAGAAGCUGGCUGACUGCGAGAAGGUGGCUGUGGAGUUCGGGAACCAGCUGGAGGCAAGUGGGCCGUGCUGGGGACCCUGCUGCAGGAGUACGGGCUGCUGCAGAGGUGGCUGGGGAACGUGGAGAACCUGCUGUGCAACAGGAACUUCUGGAUCCUGCAGUUGCCCCCGGGCAGCAAGGGGGAGGCCCCCAAGG